Molecule: ribosomal RNA, 381 nt
Filed under: uncultured eukaryote
Lineage: Eukaryota
Description: partial 18S ribosomal RNA
Rfam family: Eukaryotic small subunit ribosomal RNA
Source: RNAcentral
CAAUAGCGUAUAUUAAAGUUGUUGCGGUAAAAAAGCUCGUAGUUGGAUUUCUACCGAAGAUAGCCGGUCGGGUCUUCGACCUUGUAUCUGGUUUUGUCUUUGGUAUCCUCAUAGGGAGCGUUUCUGCGCUUUAUUGCGUGGUGCGGUAUCUAUGACUUUUACUUUGAGGAAAUUAGAGUGCUCACGGCAGGCAAACGCCUUGAAUAUAUUAGCAUGGAAUAAUAACAUAGGAUCUUCGUCCUAUUUUGUUGGUUUCUAGGGCUAAGAUAAUGAUUAAUAGGGAUAAUUGGGGGCAUCUGUAUCAACGCGUCAGAGGUGGAAUUCUUGGAUUGCGUUGCGACAAACUACUGCGAAAGCAUUUGCCAAGGAUGUUUUCAUUGA